Molecule: ribosomal RNA, 373 nt
Filed under: uncultured bacterium
Lineage: Bacteria
Description: bacterial SSU rRNA
Rfam family: Bacterial small subunit ribosomal RNA
Source: RNAcentral
UACGGAGGGGGCUAGCGUUGUUCGGAAAUACUGGGCGUAAAGCGUACGUAGGCGGCUUGGCAAGUCAGGGGUGAAAUCCCGGAGCUCAACUCCGGAACUGCCCUUGAAACUGCUUGGCUAGAAUCUUGGAGAGGUCAGUGGAAUUCCGAGUGUAGAGGUGAAAUUCGUAGAUAUUCGGAAGAACACCAGUGGCGAAGGCGACUGACUGGACAAGUAUUGACGCUGAGGUACGAAAGCGUGGGGAGCAAACAGGAUUAGAUACCCUGGUAGUCCACGCCGUAAACGAUGAUAACUAGCUGUCCGGGCACAUGGUGUUUGGGUGGCGCAGCUAACGCAUUAAGUUAUCCGCCUGGGGAGUACGGUCGCAAGAUUA